GGAGAUUCUGAGACUCGGCUGAGCACUGCAACCACGCAAGGCCCGGAUGUCACCGGUCUGGGAUCCUUCUCAGAGUCUCCCAGACCACCGUCCAAGAGCUGGGACUUCACUCAGUACCUGCGUAUUAUCUGCCUAGGGUACAGGAGAUGGGCACCUCCCAACCAGAGCUGGUACCAUGUUUUCUUCCCACCUCCCCACCCAGUGCUGAGGCUUGAACUCAGGACUCUCCAGCAUGCUAGGCAACCGCUCUACUUGGAGAUACACCCCCAGCGCUGAUGAACUAUCUUCACAAUAAAACGGAAU
This is a long non-coding RNA of Fukomys damarensis (Damara mole-rat), 303 nucleotides long. RefSeq lists it as uncharacterized. The transcript is spliced from 3 exons. NCBI's taxonomy places the organism in Eukaryota, Metazoa, Chordata, Mammalia, Rodentia, Bathyergidae. The record is from RefSeq and is a predicted model, not a curated record.